This 1152-nucleotide long non-coding RNA is filed under the name Monodelphis domestica (gray short-tailed opossum). RNAcentral's name for it is "lncRNA (ENSMODG00000040873.1)". The record is from RNAcentral. Lineage: Eukaryota; Metazoa; Chordata; Mammalia; Didelphimorphia; Didelphidae.
AUGAAAAAGGCCAAGAAGGAGCUCGAGGUGCGGAUUCUGAAAUGGCCGGAAUGUUGGGGACUUUCUUGGCGGGGGGCUCUGAGCUCCUGGGAGGACACUAACUUUGCCUCUGCUCCAAACCCCACGAAAGCCGGCUGGUCUGAGCAGAGGCGGCAGCUCAGCGUCCCCCCAGCCAGAGCACGGCUUCACGCUGGGGAUCUUCUCGGCCACCUUCAUCGGGAUGGCGACAAUGCCCGGCCCGGGGCCGCUCCCUCCUCGGAUCCCCGAGGGGCUCUCGCUUCUGCCGGGCUCACCAGGCCAGAGUCUGUGUACGCAAGUGGCCGAGUCACCUCUCAGGCGUGUGCGUGUGCGUGCUGUCCAGUGAGCCCACGCCAUGGGGCUGCUCAUCCCAAGCAUUUCACAGCCCUCUUUACGGCAAACCGACUCAUGUGGGGCGCCACAGGGGCCCGGAGCAUCUCAGAGGCCUGGUGGGGGGGGGGGCGCAACACGAAACCACAAAAGCAUCUUUUGCUAUUCUGGGCCUCGGACUCGCCUGGGGAAUCGGCGGCGCUUUGGCUCACAACAAAGCCGGAUCUUCACCCAGAAGGGCCACCAGCAGCUCGUUUCUACACUCCCAGUUUCAGUCACUGGAAUGCGAUCAGCCAGGAAAGGACCCCUUUUAGCGAAGGAUGUCCAGUAACGGGUGGUACGAAGCCCCCGGGGCACCCUUGGCCACAAGCGCGCACUCUCGGGCCCUGGGAGAAGGCUCGUGAAGGCUCUCGGGGCGUCCUUUCUUCAUCCUCUCCUGGCUGGGGCCCCGAGUCUCUGAAUCUGCUUCCUCUCAGCAGCUUUUGGUCCAUGGCUGGGUCCCGGCUCGCCUCUCCGUCUCCGGGUCUUUCUCCCCUCCUUGCCUGGGUGGCUUGUGGCCCGGCAGUGAGGAGAGAGGAGGAGUGGAAGGCUCACUCCCUGCCCGCUACAGUACAGGGUCAAGGCAGUACCCCGAGGCACUGCCUCAGAGCCUGGAGCCCCCGGCUGAGCUGGAUCCCCCAUCUCCCCAUUGCUUACAGCCACCCGGAACAAUCUAACAAACAGACUCCUGGUAAAGGGACCACAGGACGCGGCCAGGCUUCCUUCACGGGGUGCUUCUUCAUUACUCCCCUCUCUCCAUUCUAA